AGGACCUGGCUGUGGGUAUGGGUACACUCCCUACAUAUCUACAUGACAAACCUGGUAUUCCCGCAUAAACCAUCAGAAAGCUUUUCAGUUCUGUGAGAGACUUUAACCUGGGGGAACCAGUUAGAUGGUGAAGAAGUUAUCCAUUAGUGACACUACCUAGCACAACCCAAUCUUCUCCAGGAUUAAAACCUACUGCCUUCUAAUAAAAGUCUUGUGUUGGACCUAUGGAGCUUACGGGCAGAGCUGGUUUGGUGGAAACGAUAUCAAAAGGCCACUGAAACCAGAGAUUACAUUCUAUGGUGAUGAUGUAGUGUGACCAGUUGCAGAGUUUGUGCAUAAGACAGUUAGGUAGAGUGAGUUUACAUUUCGUUGGAAUCCUUGUUGCAGAUAUACUCGGGUUACAGAUUUGCAGUAGCUGUCAGCAACCAAGAAACCAGCAGCCACUCAAAAUAAAGGACCCACAUGACCAGACAAGUUGGCAAGAUUAUAAAUUCAAGCAAAGUGUGCCAAAGUUCAAGUCUGGAGAUAACAUUGGCAAAUCUUAGACAUUUUUAGAUAUAAGUUCAGUCAGUCAGUGUUAAAUUACGGUCCGUCUGCCCUUUCAGACACAAUAAAGCAUAACUGCCACAUAGAGUAGUAUUAGACCGAUUUUGCUUAGAUUUAAGUUUUAAAAUGACUUCAUGUAUAUACUUUUCAGUCAAAGGCUUUUUGGUAUUUGUAUUUUAUUCUACAUAUCCACUCCAGGAGAACUACGUUCCAACAUAAGUCAAGUCUCAUCGAUAUCAUGUGACAUACCUCAACAAUGAAGUUACGGUGUCGCUCCAGUUACCUUGUUGAUUCAUUUAUUAUGUGUAAUUUAGCAUUUAUUCUACGUUUUAUGUGUAAAAGAUAUAUUAGCUAUUUGCAGCAUUUUGCAAGAUACAACAAACUAGUUACAAAUACACUUAACGUAAUCUACAUAAAUGUUGCAAGGCCGCAACGAUAACAUACAUUAUGUGACAGCGUCUCACAUACAGUGUUGCAAAGUCUCAGCAUCAUAAUUACCAUUUGAACUUGUAGAAAAUUCUUAUGUACAUUUUAUCUUUACCUUGAGAACAUUUCUUUGACAAUUUCAUAAAUGACUGGAUGACAUCUGGGCAAGGUACAACAAUUUAAUAAGUAUGAUUAAUGUAUUUGUCGUUAACAUAAUACACAUUAUAGUCUUACACAGGCUGGAGUAAAAUUCUUUGAAAUGGAUGAAUAAAAUCAUAUACAAUUUCAGCAUGAAAAUUAAAAUGUAAAGUUAAUGCUUUUCAAUAGAAAUAAGUAUCUUUAGAUAUUCGCUAUAGAAAUACUUUCAUUUAUAUCAAAAUCCAUGGAAUCUUGUAAGCAGUGUCGAUGGCUCCUACACAAAGUGGUGUUCAGCUGAACCAUUACUCUUAGUCAGUUUUGAAAAAGUGUAUACAUGUUAUGCAUUGCAAUGUUUACAUUAUAAGUUAAAAGGGGAUAGAGAACCUAUAAGGUUAUAAUAAUUGGAAGAACAUAACAAUUAUAUUAUUUUAUACUUUACUGCAUGUCUUUCUUUCUCGUGCUUUUUAAACACGCGCAUUUCCUGAAAUUUUCAUUGCUAGUAUUUUGCGUUGUUUUCGUCUCCUAUAAUCCCCGACGAAAGAGGGAUAUGGUUUUGGCGUUGUCCGUCCGUCUUUCCUUCCGUCCCUCCUUCCGUCUUUCCAUCCGUCCGGAGCCAUAUCUAGGAAAUGGUUGGGAAUAUUUAUUUAAAACUUCAUAUACAUGUUCACCACUAUGAGUUCUUGCGGCCCGUCAAGUUUCAGUCAGAUUGCCCAAGUAACACCAGAGUUAUGGUCCCUAGAAGUUUCUAGUGUUAACUAUGUAAGGUACUAUAAAUAUGGCAAUUUCUGCAUCAUAACUUUUGAUAUAUUUGACCUAGAACUAUAAAACUUAAAUAGAAAUUAGAUCACCAUAAUGUGGUUGUGUACACACAAUUUCAUUCAGAUUUAUAUGUAAAUUAAGAGUUAUUGCCCUUUAAUUGUAUAAAAAUCCACAUAUUUGUACAUAACAAACUUACCAUUUGGUAGAAUUUCAUUAAAUUUCUUUCAUUCUUUUCCAUGAACAUUUAUUGUAAACAUGUGAAGUUGUGUACCCACACCUGGUCACCCCUUUACCUUGA
Molecule: long non-coding RNA, 2167 nt
Organism: Mercenaria mercenaria
Lineage: Eukaryota; Metazoa; Mollusca; Bivalvia; Venerida; Veneridae
Exons: 4
Source: RefSeq, a predicted model, not a curated record